This 1318-nucleotide small RNA is filed under the name Histoplasma capsulatum var. duboisii H88. RNAcentral describes it as "Histoplasma capsulatum H88 hypothetical RNA". The record is from RNAcentral. Lineage: Eukaryota; Fungi; Ascomycota; Eurotiomycetes; Onygenales; Ajellomycetaceae.
ACAAGCCGAGGGAUAACUCACCGCGCCGGCAUGACGUGAUCGGCUGCUGCUGAGUUGCAUGGAAACAACACUCCGCUCUGCCUUUUGGCUUCCAAUUCCGCAACGCCCGUGACGGACAUAUGGAUGUGUCUGUCAAUUAAUUAAUACCCAUGCUGGUGACUUUGUGUGACCUGCAUCCAUUUUCACCUUCUACAAUUUCUCCUGCGUCCAUAGCACUCGAACUCGCAUCCAUCUCUGCCAAUCGUAUCCAGAACACCCAAAAUGGCUACUGAAACACCCAAAGGGCAUAACCUGAUGCAGGCGUCACUAAUAUAGCGGCGCGUAGCACUGCUGGAAUAGGUGUGGUCACGUGGAAUUCUAGCUGUGCCAUAGGAGUAGGGAUAUGCCCAACAUACAAUUGUAUCGCCGUAGGUGGCUGACAUUACAUUCCACAAAAGACAACCAAACGCAGCCGGAAAAUUUAAAUACGUCCAUUAUAAAAGAGAUAUGUAUAUAUAUACAGAUACAGAUACUUCCAUUGGAAACCGCGUAGCAGCGGCGGGGGAGUACGGGGGGAAGAAAGGCAGGCUGGCAGGCUGGGGGGCUGGCUGAGGCUAGGCGUUCAAUAGUAACAGCACGUUGCUGGAGCUGUUUGAGUUAAACGGGCUGCCUGUAUGUCUGCGAGGGGAUUGACUGAUUUCACUGAUUUGUUCAUGCAUGCACGAGCCACGACUGGAUGGAGAUGGAGAGUUGAUGGGAAAUAGCCACGAAGGCAUAAAUGUGAGUUUGUUGAUUCUUUUUACAUUCCAACCACCCCUUGUAGCCAGGAACGCCAGGAUGCCGGGAACGCCAGGACAAUAGACGUAGAGGAACAUUGGCUUACCAGGAAGUACAUUCACCCCCUUUCUACCCAGGAAAAAGAAAAGAAAAGAAAAGAAAAACCAAAAGCAAAAACAAAACAAAACAAAAACAAAAACCACCAAAUGAAAUCUAUAUAUCCUAUCCAUCUAUCCAUUCCCGGGUUAUCCAGUCGCGGGCUGCUGUGCUCGCUGCCGCUCCUGCUGUGGCUGUUGCUGCCGCUGUGGCUGUUGCUGCCGCUGGUGCGGCCUCACUGGCUGCUGCAAAUGCUUUGGGGGCUCUCGCGCGGGGAUCGGAUCACCAAGAUGCCGCGGCUUCCCAUCCCAGCCGAAAUCGGGCCAGCCGUGCGGCAGGGAGGCGAACGGGGGCAUGGUGUAGCGGCCCUCGCAGGUGCCUAUGUUCCUGCACGACAGAUUGCAGUAUCCGUACUGCUUGCAGUAGCACUCACUCGCGGUGGGGCAGUGGACGGGGUCGCGGCCGA